CUCAGUUCGGAUUGAGUCUGCAACUCGACUCCAUGAAGCUGGAUUCGCUAGUAAUCGCGCAUCAGCCAUGGCGCGGUGAAUACGUUCCCGGGCCUUGUACACACCGCCCGUCAAGCCAUGGGAGUCGGGAGUGCCUGAAGUUCGUGACCGUAUAGGAGCGACCUAGGGCAAGACUGAUGACUGGGGCUAAGUCGUAACAAGGUACC
RNAcentral lists this ribosomal RNA (206 nucleotides) under uncultured bacterium. RNAcentral's name for it is "partial 16S ribosomal RNA". It matches the Rfam family "Bacterial small subunit ribosomal RNA", at positions 1287 to 1500 of the family's 1533-position model. The record is from RNAcentral.